RNAcentral lists this ribosomal RNA (254 nucleotides) under uncultured bacterium. RNAcentral describes it as "partial 16S ribosomal RNA". It matches the Rfam family "Bacterial small subunit ribosomal RNA", at positions 524 to 776 of the family's 1533-position model. The record is from RNAcentral.
UACGUAGGGGGCGAGCGUUGUCCGGAAUUAUUGGGCGUAAAGAGCUCGUAGGCGGUGUGUCACGUCGGCCGUGAAAACCUGCAGCUUAACUGUGGGCGUGCGGUCGAUACGGGCAUCACUGGAGUUCGGCAGGGGAGACUGGAAUUCCUGGUGUAGCGGUGAAAUGCGCAGAUAUCAGGAAGAACACCCGUGGCGAAAGCGGCUCUCUGGAACGGUACUGACGCUGAGACGCGAAAGCGUGGGGAGCGAACAGG